Molecule: non-coding RNA, 754 nt
Filed under: Pan troglodytes (chimpanzee)
Lineage: Eukaryota; Metazoa; Chordata; Mammalia; Primates; Hominidae
Source: RNAcentral
CAUCCCACCCCAGCACUUUCUAGGAAGGAGGGCAGCAUUUUGAAGGGCUGGAAGUAGAGGAAGGAGGUUGCGGGUAGAAGACUCCAUACUUUCUGUGAUGCCUAUUCCUUAGAAAUUCUCGGAGCCACCCAUCAGUGCCUGAGCUUCAGUGAGUCCAUAUCCCAUGUCACCCACGGCAAAGGAGAAUCUAAGACUUCUGAAGAGUUUCUUGCUUCUUUCCUGUGGGGCAGUGACUCCACUUCCCAGCAGUAAUGGAAUAUCCUGAAUUAGCUACAUUAAUGUUAGAACCAUUUGGACCUCACCCAGGACUUCAACUACAUUAUGCUAAAGUUACAGAACCCAAAUUUGGCAACUGUCUGCAUCUGAACAACAGAAGUUUCAACAUUCUGCCAACAGAGUAACUCCUGGACGAUUGGCACAGAAGGCACAAGGCAAAUACCUAUCUCUGUACACCCUGUGCUACUGUGUCAUGUGCUGCUCCAGGCAACUCCAAUGGAUUGGCCACCCUGGCCAAUGUGUUCUAGUAUGUUAGGUUUAUGUUCCCCUGCUUUCUACAAUCCUGUUCAAAGAGUUGCUGACUUAACCACAGAGAGGAUUCCAGAACAUGAGACACAGAAUAAACUUGAGCAAUCAUAGUCCAUCCACUUCAUUUUCUCAUCAAAAACCAAAGGUCCAGUGAAGCUCUGGAACUCAACGCUGUAAAGGAGCGAAGGAGCUUCUAUACAGAGCCUGGAUGCCUGUCUCCUUAUCCUAC